UUGGAGGGCAAGUCUGGUGCCAGCAGCCGCGGUAAUUCCAGCUCCAAUAGCGUAUAUUAAAGUUGCUGCAGUUAAAAAGCUUGUAGUUGAAUUUCGGGACCAAUAUGUCGGUCGUGCCUCGGUACGUACUGGCAUCGUUGGUUUCUCCCUUCUGACGAACCAUGAUGUCAUUCAUUUGGUGUCGUGGGGAAUCAGGACUGUUACUUUGAAAAAAUUAGAGUGUUUAAAGCAGGCUCACGCUUGAAUACAUUAGCAUGGAAUAAUGAAAUAGGACGUUUGAUUCUAUUUUGUCGGUUUCUAGGAUCGACGUAAUGAUUAAUAGGGAUAGUUGGGGGCAUUAGUAUUCAAUUGUCAGAGGUGAAAUUCUUGGAUUUAUUGAAGACUAACUACUGCGAAAGCAUUUGCCAAGGAUGUUUUCAUUAAUCAAGAACGAAAGUUAGGGGAUCGAAGACGAUCAGAUACCGUCGUAGUCUUAACCAUAAACUAUGCCGACUAGGGAUCGGAUGAUGUUAAUUUUUUAAUGACUCAUUCGGCGCCUUACGGGAAAC
Molecule: ribosomal RNA, 548 nt
Filed under: uncultured Glomus
Lineage: Eukaryota; Fungi; Glomeromycota; Glomeromycetes; Glomerales; Glomeraceae
Description: SSU rRNA
Rfam family: Eukaryotic small subunit ribosomal RNA
Source: RNAcentral